This 452-nucleotide ribosomal RNA is filed under the name uncultured organism. Its description in RNAcentral is "bacterial SSU rRNA". It matches the Rfam family "Bacterial small subunit ribosomal RNA", at positions 28 to 507 of the family's 1533-position model. The record is from RNAcentral.
GAUGAACGCUGGCGGCGUGCUUAAUACAUGCAAGUCGAACGGGUAUAGCAAUAUACAAGUGGCGACCGGGUGCGUAACACGUAGUUGACCUGCCCCUCAGCGGGGGAUAACGUUUCGAAAGAGACGCUAAUACCGCAUGAUUUCAGUGGGAUUAGAAGCCAUUGAAUAAACUUCCGGGGUUGAGGGAGGGGACUGCGGCCCAUCAGGUAGUUGGUGAGGUAACGGCUCACCAAGCCAUUGACGGGUAGGGGGCCUGAGAGGGUGGUCCCCCACACUGGAACUGACACACGGUCCAGACUCCUACGGGAGGCAGCAGUAAGGGAUAUUGGUCAAUGGGCGCAAGCCUGAACCAGCAACGCCGCGUGCAGGAUGACGGCCUUCGGGUUGUAAACUGCUUUGGAAGGGGACGAGCAAGGACGGUACCCUUCGAACAAGUCACGGCUAACUACGUG